AGAUCUAAAAGUAUGUAACGAGAAAUAAUGAAAGGUAGGAACAUCUCAGAUUUAUUGAUGUUAUAAUCUUAUCCCCGAUAAGAGGGAAAAAUGAGUUUACAUUCUAAACAAAAUAGAAACUGCAAGAGAAAGAGUAGAAAGGAAUAGCCCAGGCCCCCCUUUUUCCAGAAAUUUCCCCGUGUAUGUAGCUCCUGGAACUUUCAUUCAGUGGUUUUUGACCAACAUGAUCCUCUGCGACGGUCCUUUUCGUCAUUAUUUAAGUACAGUAACGCCUUGACAUAUGCUGUCGAUGGUUUGACCCCAAGUUCGGUCGUGGUGCCCUUCACUAUUUCACCACCUGGGUGAGAUCCCAGCUUGGUUGACCGCCAUGGUCAGAUUUUGACCUAUAUAGUAUGUAUAAAUAAUUAGAAUCUAAAGCAAUGGGUACUAUUGAACCCACCGAACUUGCACUAGGUUUAGCCUUUGCUCAUUCGCCCUGUCUCAGAUUUUCUUAAAGCUAUUUCUUUCUUAUAGCUUCGUCAUUGUUCCAAAGGUUUAACAAAGAGUAGAUGCAUCUCUCUAUAUACUGUAUACAAGUAGUAAAGCCUUUUUAGUGGUUUAGGCUAUAGAAUGAUCAUGUAUGAAUUUGUUUGGCUGGUAACUGCUACUACCUCCUUAAUUAAGAAGAAGCGCCAGUGUAGAUAAACUAAAUACGAUGUUGAAGAUAGGUACCAUUUAUAGUUGGAUUAUCAAUCAGAGAGACAUAAUGUGACGCCUUGAUAUAUGAUGCCUGUAGGACCUUAAAACGAGACGUAAACCUGAUCUGGAGGUCAUCAUUAAUCGCGUUAUUAGUUUAUUAUAAAGUUGCUUUAGCGAAUUUUCACUGUGUAAGUAAAAUUAUUAACUACUCACCUAAGUACUUUUCUUCUUCCCUUUCUAGUAAUAACUGAUGACAUAAUAAUCAUGAGAGAGUAAUAAUUUUUUUUGCCAUAAAGCAUAAUUGCAGGCUGCUUUUAGAAACAAAUUAAUGUGAAAAGGAAAAGUGGGGAGAGAAAACUAUAGAUUAUCUUAGUUUAACUAGGCAUAAACUUUAAUAAAGAAAAGAAGAUUUUUGAAAUAUGUGGUCUUACAUAAGUCAUAAUAUUUGUGUGGCUGCAAAAUUUUUAAAAUUUAUGAUAUGAAACCUAUCAUAUCAUUUGUGAGACUAUAAAUACUUUUUAUUAAGAAAAUAUUAAAAUGUGUAAAUUUUUUAAAAUGGACUAAUAAGAAAAUAGUAUCAAUAACGUAGGGAGUACUAUACACAACCUUUAAAGUUGUCUUUCCAGCAGUAUUCAUAUAGAAUACAGCUCAUGUUCUGAAACUCAAUGCGUAGCAGGAUUGGUUAAAUGUAGACAUCAACCGCCACCUGUUAUCUUACUAUCAAAC
This 1404-nucleotide long non-coding RNA is filed under the name Nicotiana tabacum (common tobacco). RNAcentral describes it as "long non-coding RNA (NTAB_LNC011105)". Lineage: Eukaryota; Viridiplantae; Streptophyta; Magnoliopsida; Solanales; Solanaceae. The record is from RNAcentral.